This 6140-nucleotide long non-coding RNA is filed under the name Citrus x clementina. RNAcentral describes it as "Citrus clementina (C. clementina) long non-coding RNA (CCLE_LNC005284)". The record is from RNAcentral. Lineage: Eukaryota; Viridiplantae; Streptophyta; Magnoliopsida; Sapindales; Rutaceae.
UUUGAAUAAAAACAUAGACCUAAGAAAAGUAUAUAGACUUGAAAAAAGUACGUCAACAGCUUAGCAUGUGCUCUUAAAAAAUAAAAAUAAAAAACUUAAUAGACUUUUCUUUUUUAGGUACGGUGCGGCAUGACGCACAGCAUGGCACGUGUGGGCAUGACACGACAUGGGCACAUGCACGAGCAUACAUGGGCCUUGGUUUGGUACCGGCACGACCCAUUGGCCAUCUCUAGACUCCCUACGUUAUGCAUUCGAGUAGACUAUCAAUGCUUGGCAUAAAUAAGAGUGUGGUCAAUAAAUUGUAGAGAAUUGAUGUAUGAACUAAGCCUUGACAAAACAAAUUCAAAGCAACUUCAUUUUGAGUGAAUUUAUUUUUAUUUUUUUAUCUUUUUGAAUUUAACCAAAAAUGACUUCAUUUUCAAGUGUGUUAUUUUAGGAUUUUGUCAGGAUGCAGCUCCCUAAUCGUUUUUGUAAAUUAUAGGACUAAUACAAUGCUUAAGAUAGUGUCAAUUACUGCUCUUGGGAUUUUUGUUUUUCUUGCAAAAACGAUGUUAUUAGGAAAAUGAAGAUGUUCUUAACUUCACAUGUUAGACAAUGACUAUAUUAAUUGCUCUCGAAUUGAAGUUCCGAUUCGAAUUUGAUUAUUUACUGGUUUGGCAGGAGAUUAAUUAAAACCUUUCUAGAUCUAAUCUCAUUUGUCCAUUCUCAUGGAACAGUAUGGCUCUGCCAAAUUGCCUAUUAUGCGUCUCACUUAAAUGAAGUUGUUCAUUCUCGUGAGUGGCAUUAUCGCACUUUCUUUUUCGGAGUCGUCUUUUGACUCUAUUUAACUUAUACAUUUCAAGGUUUUUUAAAAUAUUUUCACCCUAAAAAUUAUUCAAUAAGAUUUUUUUUUUCUUCGGAUGUUUAGAUUCUAUAUGAACAUGAUUUUAGUCUUUGGGGGUGCAAAAAUUGCAAGGAGGGUCAAAAUCACGGUUAAAUUAUAGAUAAGACUGAAAUGAGUUAGAUCAGGGUUAAUUUAGGUGUUAGGGUGCAUUAGUGUUGACUGUUGGUGUUGAACACACGUUGAUUGGCUGAUUCACGCGCCUACUAUGGAACUCGACACAAAGGAUAUAUGAAUGUUGACUUUUCCAAUUAUCGAGACAUUAACAAUCAUUAACUUACCAAAGAUGCACCCGCAAAAGAUCUGGACCCAUGAUUUUCGUGGGUCAACGGACCUGGUUGAAUAUCCACACUUACUUAUGUCCCCUGAACAAAAAAUUUAGAGUACAUUAGAGAUAAUACAAUCAAUGAGUGACUAUAUACUGAUUCUUUAAAAUAAAUGUAUACAUGGAUAUUUUAAAAUUUCUCUCAUCGAACUCAAUCACCACCCAUAUGCGUGUGGAUUAUCAUAUUUGCGUUAUUUGAACAACAUGGACCAUUGGUUAAUCACCAUGUGCCAUGCUAGUUGCUCUUAACUUAUUCCCUUAUCGCCAAAUUUGCUUAUUCCUUAUUGUGUAUGAAUGCCUAAGAUCACGCAACAUCACAUUUGUUGUUAACUUAUUUCUUUAUCGCCAAAUUUGCUUAUUCCUUGUUGAGUAUAAACGCCUAAAAUUGUGCAACAUUCUUGCUUUGGAUAGUCAAGAACGCUUCAAUUUGCAUAUUUAUAGCCACUAAUUGCUCUUCUAAAAGUUUAGUACGAACAUGCUGUUAAACUGUGCAGUUUAAUAUAAUUAGUUUUUAAUGUACUAUAAGACCAUGCAGUUUAAUAAUGUGCCUACACUAACUUUAUUAAAUCAUACAGUUUAAUAACAGAUUUAUAUUUAAAAAAAAUGAGGGCGCCUACACGCGCGCACACACAUACACAUAUGUGUGGGAUAUCCUCACUUUGUUAAAAUGAUGAUACCACUAAUAGACAAAACACAAAGGUUUCAAUAUAUCAAUAGACAAAAAAUACAGUUUUGCUAUAUAUAUAUAUAUAUAUAUAUAUAUAUAUAUAUAUAUUAGUGACAAAGUGAGGAUGUCAUUACUAGAGAAGGAAUUUUUGUCGUUGAAAUGGAAAGGCGAGCCGAUUUUAAAGAAAAGAAAAUAAGAAUGGGGGUUGUGCUUUUAAGUUGAACUUAAAGAAAAACAUUAAGGAUUAGGCAUUUAUGUUUAGGAAAACUAUUGUGAAUGAUAUUAUGAAUUAUAUAUUGUCUAAUUAUUUUCUUUCAACUAAAUGAUUUUUUUUAACGGUUUUAGUUGUGUAUUUUAGGUAACAUUUUGGAGACCAUUAAACUAUAAUAUUUCAUCCUUCAUCUUUAAUUAUGUAAGCUAGUUGCAUGAAAAACAUAAAGGGUUCAACUAGAGCCCAAAUAAAUAUAGUUCUUACGAAGCCUAUGAAGAGAUUGAUAAAAAUUCCUAGAAUAAAUUUCUUAGGUUCCAAGGUUUUUAGAUUGUGAGGUUAUUAGCCUCCAAAAUUCCCAGGACAAGUCAAUGUAAGAUAAACUUUUAGAUUAUGAAGUUUCGAGCCUCUAAAGUUCUUAGAGUUUCCUUAGAUAAACCAUCUACGAUAAACAUCCUAAGUCCAAGGUUUUAAAAUUUUUAGAAUAAACUCCUAAGGUUUCAAAGUUCAUAAGACAAAUAACCUAAGAUAAACUUUCUAGAUUCCAAGAUCUUAUGACAAACCUCUUUAAAGUCUUAAGGUUCUUAAGAUCCUAAGAUCAUAGGACAAACUACCUAGAAUAAACCUCUUAGAUUCCAAGAACAAAUUAUCUAGGAUAAAUCUCUUAGGUUUCAAGGUUCCUAUGAUCUUAAGAUUCUAGGAAAAAUAACCUAAGAUAAAAACACAUCAUCUUCUGAUCCAAAGACAAGGUUGCAUAUCCGAAUAUAACUCGGCAUGGGUAUAAGAAGACAAGUGUCGCUAGGUGUCAUAAGAACAACAACACUUGUCAUCAAAAUAAUUAGGACUCAAGUCAAAUUAAUUUUGCCUAUAGAUAAGCCCUUUAUUCUCGCUUAAAGAUAGGUAAAAACUUAAGAAGAGAAAAAAUGCUUACUUUCUCUUAUUAAGUACCUCAAACUAAAUUCAUAUUUUGAAAUUCUGAGUGAUUAACUUGACCAUGGGAGAGCUUACACCGGCAAAGUUGGCCAUCUGGUCUUUUUCUUGUGUUUGUAGAAUAUCAUCUAACAAACUCCUUUUUAUAACCUAAGAAAAUGGACUCCUAGAAGAAAUUCAGAGGCGGGUUAAGACUAACCUAAAGAAGUAAUUUAUCAUUAUUUAUUCCAACAAAGAGAAAGCACAAUCCUAAAAGAGUCAUCUUUUGUUGAAACUACCACCUAGUAAGCUGGGAUAAAAUUUAAACCAACAGACUGACAUCGUUUGUAGGGACUUUUAACUAAAAGUCUUGGAACUGCUACCAUGAGCAUAGAUGCAAAUCGUGAGAUUAUGACUUUGUCGUUGAUCAUAAAAGUUCUAGAGUUAAUAAGGAAGUUAUUUUUCGGUGAAUAGAUGAUAAUGAGAUUUGGAGGAUGAUGAUACGAUGCCUUCUCAUUUUUUUUUAAAUCCUUAAUCAAAUUCAUGUCGCUAUGACAAACAUCGAGGACAACCUCUUGUUGUUUGAUUUAGGCAACAAGUUGAUUAGGUCACUCAUAACUUUACUAGAAUGUUCAUCCAAUUCCAAGCCUAAACUGAAAAAUGGAUGAACUCAAGUGGUGACAAUGUGGUUGAUUCUAACUCCUUAAGAACGAGGUUUAGAAAAGAAUUAAAGUAAGGCUUCUCAGGCAUUCGCAAGACCAAUGAAGAUCUAAGAAGAAUGGCUAGAGAAUAUAUAAACCAAGGAGAAGAAUUCGAUAGAUAAUUACAAGAGAUGAUACAGAGACUUGAGUAAAUGAUCCAAUAAAUAAAACCACUUGAUGAUAUAAUAGCAGAACCUGAGCCACCAUUUACUCUUGAUAUAAUAAUAACAAAAUGUCCACCUAAGUUUCGUUUACCCUAGAUAAAGUCCUGUAACAGACUGGGGGAUCAUAUUGAUUACCUAGAAUCAUCUCACACCUUUAUAAAAGUACAAGGAGCAUCACGAGUAAUUCUUAGUCAAGUUUUUCCUCUUACCUUGGUAGGAACAACAUGAAGACAAUUUCAAAGGAUGAGGCCACGCUCUAUCUUAUCCUUUAGGGAUUUGAAUAGAGAAUUUACCUCUUACUUCUAAAAUGCUCGACAAAGAUGAAAAUUGAUGACUUAUUUCUUAAUCGUCAAACAAUAAGAAAAUAAGUCAUUGAGAGAUUACAUUAGAAGGUACAAUAAGAAGAAAGGGUUGGUCGACCUAUUUAAUUACUAAGAAGAGAUAAAUUUUGACCUAAACAGUGCUCUAGAGUUUGGUACACUUGUCCUUAUUUAGCUUCUUCAUUUUCAUUUUGCUUUUAAUUAGAAAAUGAUUAAGUUUCCAAGUAUUGUUUUGAUGGCUAGAUUCACAUAAAGAAGAAUGUUAUCUGAGUGAGGAUAAGAAGAAAAAUAUCAAAAACCUACACAUUUAGGACAUCUAUUAUGGAUAAAAUUGACUUUUAAAUUUAGUCAUGAUAUAAUCAAAUAGUUUUAAGAAAAAAAAUCAAAAACCUACAUAUUUAGGACAUUUAUUAUGGAUAAAAUUGACUCUUAAAUUUAGUCAUGGUAUGAUCAGAUAGUUUUAAAUGAUGCCAAAGAGACCACAUUCUAAUGAUACAACACCAAGCUGUAGUAAUUUCUGGUAUUAUCAGGGGACUUAAGAUGAGAAAACUAUGGUUAUUGUUUUUAAAAAAAACACUUACUUCUUAUUCUAAGAUGCUUUUAAGAGCUGAGAAGUAUGCUCACUAAAUAAAGAAUUUAGAUUAAAAAUCAAGAGAAAGUAUAGCCAAGUAAAGAAAAGCAAAAGAAAAAUGAUCGGUGAGAAGGAAUGACUAGUAGACCUGAUCAAUUUCUAAGGAGAUAUAAAUUUUGACUUAAAGAACAUUCUAAAGUUUGGGACACUCAUUCUUGUUCAAUUUCUCAAUUUCCAAUUGCCUCUAAUUAGAAAAUGAUAAGAUUUCCAAGUCCUGUCUAGAUAGUUAGGUUCACCAUAAAGAAAAACAUUGUCCGAAUUAGGAUAAGACGAAAAACACCAAAAACCUACACCGUUAAGACAUCUAUGUAGAUGAAAAUGACUCUUAAAUUCAACUAUAAUAGGAUUAGAUAAUUCUAAGCAACGCCAAAAAUCCACAUUCUAAUGAUACAAAAAUCCACAUUUAGGAGCUUGCUGACUAGAGUUAGUCCUAAGGCAUGAAAUAUUCUCUGAAUAUAAGUGUGAAAUGGAAGUUGUACCCCAGAAUUUAACAUACACCUAGUAAUCCUAAAUAAGCAAUUAGGAGGAUUGAUAAUGUUGUUUUUAAGUGAAACAUGACGAAGUGUGAUUGACCUAGGAAUGCUUGAUCAUUAGAAACUCAAGGAAUAUUUCAACUUAAUUGUCUUCAACUAUAAUGGAUAGAUAUCUUUAACAACAAGCUCAUCUUUAUCCUUAGAAUUUCCUAAGUUAAUAACCCCACUUAUUCCUAUUACUUUAUCUGCAUAUGUGCUACUAUCCUCAUAUAUUUCUUCUUUUAACUCACAACUACCAACAUCACUUGUAAUAGCAUCAAUACUUGUGGAGCAAUAUCCAUCACUAUAUUUUUAUCCUUGGCCAUUUCAAUACUAGGUCUUUUUGAAAUAAGAUGAACCUACAGAGUUACAAUAACCUAUUGUUAUUCUCCUAAAUGUGUAAAAUUUAAUUAAAUUAAUUAAUUAAAAACUCAUUAAAAGUCACCCAAAAAUAACUAAAAAUUCACUAAAAAUCACUAGAGAUAUGCCAUAAAGUCACCUGAAAAUCAUCAUUGACUGCCGUGAAUGUUGCAAUCAAUCAUCAUGAAUCACCGACCUCUCUCAUUGGAAACUUGAGAGCUUUUCUCUUUAAAAUAUAUGCUCUCACUCUUAGAAAAUCUUAAGUGAGAAAGAAAGAUGGAAAAUAAGGCAUUAUAAAGGGGACCAAAAGGAUCUUAGCUAAUUAAAAAGAAUUUGUAAUUAAGGCAAUUAUUGAUGGGAAAUCUCAAUUAAUAAAGACCAGUAAUCUAAGACAAUCAAAGAAUAUAAAUAUUGAUUUUCAAAGCAAAUAAUGAUGGAAUAAUUAUGGAUUGAAAGUUUUAUU